This 393-nucleotide ribosomal RNA is filed under the name uncultured bacterium. RNAcentral describes it as "partial 16S ribosomal RNA". It matches the Rfam family "Bacterial small subunit ribosomal RNA", at positions 523 to 918 of the family's 1533-position model. The record is from RNAcentral.
AUACGGAGGAUCCGAGCGUUAUCCGGAUUUAUUGGGUUUAAAGGGAGCGUAGGCGGACGCUUAAGUCAGUUGUGAAAGUUUGCGGCUCAACCGUAAAAUUGCAGUUGAUACUGGGUGUCUUGAGUACAGUAGAGGCAGGCGGAAUUCGUGGGGUAGCGGUGAAAUGCUUAGAUAUCACGAAGAACUCCGAUUGCGAAGGCAGCCUGCUGGACUGUAACUGACGCUGAUGCUCGAAAGUGUGGGUAUCAAACAGGAUUAGAUACCCUGGUAGUCCACACAGUAAACGAUGAAUACUCGCUGUUUGCGAUAUACAGUAAGCGGCCAAGCGAAAGCGUUAAGUAUUCCACCUGGGGAGUACGCCGGCAACGGUGAAACUCAAAGGAAUUGACGGGG